This 245-nucleotide ribosomal RNA is filed under the name uncultured Bacillota bacterium. RNAcentral describes it as "uncultured Firmicutes bacterium partial 16S ribosomal RNA". It matches the Rfam family "Bacterial small subunit ribosomal RNA", at positions 524 to 768 of the family's 1533-position model. Lineage: Bacteria; Bacillati; Bacillota. The record is from RNAcentral.
UACGUAGGGGGCGAGCGUUGUCCGGAAUUACUGGGCGUAAAGGGCGAGUAGGCGGUCAAGUAAGUCAGAUGUGAAAUGCCGGGGCUUAACCCCGGAUCUGCAUUUGAAACUGUUUGACUUGAGUGCAGGAGAGGAAAGUGGAAUUCCCAGUGUAGCGGUGAUAUGCGUAGAUAUUGGGAGGAACACCAGUGGCGAAGGCGACUUUCUGGACUGUAACUGACGCUGAGGCGCGAAAGCGUGGGGAG